CGCGUAGGCGGACAGUUUAGUCAGAGGUGAAAGCCCGGGGCUCAACCUCGGAAUUGCCUUUGAUACUGGCUGUCUUGAGUACGGGAGAGGUGUGUGGAACUCCGAGUGUAGAGGUGAAAUUCGUAGAUAUUCGGAAGAACACCAGUGGCGAAGGCGACACACUGGCCCGUUACUGACGCUGAGGCGCGAAAGCGUGGGGAGCAAACA
This 207-nucleotide ribosomal RNA is filed under the name uncultured bacterium. Its description in RNAcentral is "partial 16S ribosomal RNA". It matches the Rfam family "Bacterial small subunit ribosomal RNA", at positions 568 to 774 of the family's 1533-position model. The record is from RNAcentral.